Molecule: ribosomal RNA, 308 nt
Filed under: uncultured bacterium
Lineage: Bacteria
Description: partial 16S ribosomal RNA
Rfam family: Bacterial small subunit ribosomal RNA
Source: RNAcentral
GAGACAGCAGUCGCCGCGGUAAUACGAAGGGGGCUAGCGUUGUUCGGAAUUACUGGGCGUAAAGCGUGCGUAGGCGGUGAGUUAAGUCUGCUGUGAAAUCCCCGGGCUCAACCUGGGAAUGGCAGUGGAUACUGGCUCGCUAGAGUGUGUCAGAGGAUGGUGGAAUUCCCGGUGUAGCGGUGAAAUGCGUAGAGAUCGGGAGGAACAUCAGUGGCGAAGGCGGCCAUCUAGGACAACACUGACGCUGAGGCACGAAAGCGUGGGGAGCAAACAGGAUUAGAUACCCGCGUAGUCCCUGUCUCUUAUAC